GGAGAGUGCGUGCUUUGGAUUCAAGACUGGGAAUGAGUAGACCAGAAAUCUAUUCUGUGGCUGUUUCUUGCUAGGACUUUCCUAAGCCUCUGGAAAAGUGCAAAGUACAAUUAACAUUUGAGUCUGUCUGAGUCAUGAAGAAAUGGAGAUUACUCUUAUUACUGAAAAUAAUUCAUUUUGGUAUCUUCUUACAUCCUGAGAGCCUAAUCUUUCCAAGUUCAUCUAAGGCUCCUCUUCUCCAUGACAACCUCAUCCAGGGAUUUCUUCCUGUCCUGGUGUUUUAUGACAUAAUCACAUCCUUCCUGAGAUAAUGAGCACACAAUUGCCUGGAUACCUGAAGGAAUGGAGACAGCAGCACAAAACACUGCAGAGAGGUGGAAUAUUUUAAAAUCCCAUUACUGCUACCAACAAUAAUAAUGGAUGCAUAGAAAUAGAUCUGGAUUCGCUGAGCUUGAAACAGUCUAUCUCACUCACACACAAAAUAAUUUCAGAUACAGUUAACCCACAUGUUGAAGUUUUCUAGUAUAAUAACAAUUUCAACUGUUCUGUUGAAUCAUCUGUCCUGAUUGGAGGCUACAGAAAAGAUGUCAUCUUAGGACUGCUUGCUCCGAGUGAGGCUCAUCUUCAAAUCUGAAUGACCACAAGGAGAUUUGAUUAUACAUGUGAACACCUCAGAAGGCACAGCCCGCCCAGAAGGCAGACAG
Macaca mulatta (Rhesus monkey) is the source of this 704-nucleotide non-coding RNA. NCBI's taxonomy places the organism in Eukaryota, Metazoa, Chordata, Mammalia, Primates, Cercopithecidae. The record is from RefSeq and is a predicted model, not a curated record.